Long non-coding RNA from Nycticebus coucang (slow loris), 1702 nucleotides. RefSeq lists it as uncharacterized. The transcript has 3 exons. NCBI's taxonomy places the organism in Eukaryota, Metazoa, Chordata, Mammalia, Primates, Lorisidae. The record is from RefSeq and is a predicted model, not a curated record.
AAAAGCCAAACCAAGAUGUAGUUCCAAAAUUGUAUGUUCUUUACGAGCGGCUCUUGCUGCCCUUCUGAGGUCAGAUCAGUCUGUUUUGCAAAACGGAAACCGAGCUAAUGCUGUGUAUCAGCUCAGGCAGAAAGCCAUCGGAAAAAGCAAACUCUCGAAGCCAGUAGGAACACUCAUGCAGGUCUGAAGAUGAGGAUGUGAGAUUCAGAGUGAUGAAGCAAUUUGCCUGCAACCACACAGCUAGGGAGUCUCAGAGUCACGGAUUUAUAAUCUGUCCAACUGCAAAUCCGGAGAUCUUUUUUGCUCUGGUCCUGUGACUACUAAGCAAUGUAUCAGGACUAAGGCUGGACCUUCUAGCUCCAAGUCCAGUUCUCUGUCCAUUAUGGCUCAGCAGGGAACGAAGCCAAUUUGUAGGGGAUGAAGAAAGCAAAGUGAAUGAAGAGAUUUUCAUAAGAAGGGUUUUCCCCAUUCAUGUGCACGGGAGCUUUGGUGUAAGUACCAAGAAAGCUGAGGAGGAGGAGACAGGAGUGGACUGGUAAGAAGACUGGUGAGUGGCAAGUGGGAAGUCCAUGUUCAGGUGUCUUGAACUGGUUUUGAGCCCCUCUGAGGGAAGGAUGCUACCGGCAGAAAUCUGAUGCAAUGACUUCAGCUGUAAGGCCCAGCUGAAAAAGUGGUAGAGAGCCCCCUUCCCUGCCUCUGCCCUGGUUCCAGGACCAUCCCCUCAAGGGUUGAAAACUUUGGGAGCAACUGGAAGUAACAAUUUCAACUUAGACAUGGCCAAUGUCACGAUAGCCGCAGCAAAUGUGAAGUCUGUCCUGGCAACUUACUAAGAGGCAGUCAGCAUGGGGCCCAAGCAUACAGUUCUGUGGGUUUGUUUGUGCUGUCUCUCUGGGGGCUGUGUGCGUGCGUGCGUGUAUGCACGUGUGCUGAGACAGGAUAGUCCACUUCCUGACGGGAGAAAUCUGCAAAGUAUCAGCACAGGACCUGGCACAGUCUGCAGACAGUAAGUGAGCAUCUCUCCACGGCCUUCCCCAGCCUCCCCUCUCCACCCUUUGUAAGAUUACACGUCUAUUAUAUCUGUUUUUCCUCCUGAUUGCCUCAUCAGUCCCUGGCUGCAAGCAACAGACAUGAGCAGUGGGUUUUCGAUGGUAAAUGAAGUGGGGCUCGUUUAAGUAAUUGGUCUCAAUCAGAGGCUUUACAGUAGAUGGGCUAAUGUAUAUGUCUGGCUCUCCCCAUUUCAUACUGAAGCAUUGUAUUUGCAUUUAAGGGGGUGGGGUAAGAGAGAGUCAGUGUCUGGCUUAUUGGAGUAGAAAUUAAAGAACUUUUCUCAAAAAAGAAAUUCAGCAUUGUAAGUCACGCUGGCCAAAUUGGGGUGGUCCUUUGGGAAAUCCAUCUUGGAAUUUGGCUACAAUGAAACCCAGAAUUAGUUUUGAACCUGAGCAAAUUCUCCAGGUUUUGUCCAUGGAUGGUCCUCCUCUCUGCAAUGCCUUCAUUCACAGCUCAGUGCAGGGUAGCCCACUCCUCUGUUCUUAGGGUCAGACUACUGGUUUGGCAGCCUGUCAGUCACUCCACUGGCAAUUUCUGUGAACUCCUGGCAGGCAGAGCUGUAACUGGCCCAGAGGGUGUGUACACUAGAUGUGUGGGAAUUAGUGAACGGAUGGCUGUUUCUGCCCCUCGUGCAUGCAGUGAGAAAGCAUGGUGU